AGAGGACCGGGAUGGACAUACCUCUGGUGUACCAGUUGUUCUGCCAAGGGCAUCGCUGGGUAGCUACGUAUGGACGGGAUAAGCGCUGAAAGCAUCUAAGUGCGAAGCCCCCCACAAGACUAGAUUUCCCCCGUAAGGUAAGACCCGUGAGAGACUAUCACGUUGAUAGGUCGGAGGUGUAAGUACAGUAAUGUAUUCAGCUGACCGAUACUAAUAGGUCGAACGCUUGACCAA
This 234-nucleotide ribosomal RNA is filed under the name Bacillota bacterium. Its description in RNAcentral is "partial 23S ribosomal RNA". It matches the Rfam family "Bacterial large subunit ribosomal RNA", at positions 2686 to 2925 of the family's 2925-position model. Lineage: Bacteria; Bacillati; Bacillota. The record is from RNAcentral.